AGGGGCACUGUGUGGUGUUUGGGGGUGCACGCAUCUGUGCCAAAGCACAGGGGCUCGCAAUGAAUUUGAAAAACUUGCACAAAACUCCUGUUGAUGAAAAAUACUGUUUGCUUUCCCCUGCAGAAGCACAAGCCUGGAUCAAAGCCACUGGCCACCUGGCCCUGCGGGGGUGAUCCUGCCCGAGGGUCACACUGCUGUGCUGGUAAGGAGGCAUGGGGCGUUCUCGUUCAGCCAUCGCUGUUCUCAGAGCCAGUGUGCAGCAGUGCCGAGGUGGGGGUAGUGCAAAGGGAGAGGCUGUCACGUGUGUGGGUGAUUUGACAAGGUCAAGCCUGAGGACAGCCCUGUCCUCUCAGCUUUGCAGAAACCCAUGGAAGCUGGUACCCAAGGAGAGCGUACCGCGCUGGCAUCAUGUCAUGUGUGUGAAGGAUGAGCCACUCGUGGAGUCAUGGAGCUGCAGCUCGGCAGGAGCCCAAGGCAGAUAUGGUGAGCGAUAGCUGAAGGCACUUCCCAGGCACUGCGGUACAGAUGAUAUUAGUUCGGACCAUGAAGGGCAAUGAGGAGAUAGCUCAACAUUUGGAGAAAAUGGAAAGAGGAACAACCUAUGAAACCAGCUUUCUGGCUGCACCAGUGAUGUCCUCACAUGACUUGUCGCCACUUGGAAAGCCACUUGCCAGCCCCGGUAUGGGGUGCUGAUCUUGCAGGCAGGAGAUGCAGGAUCAGAGGGCAUAACCAGGAGGGAGGGCUGGCGCGGAGGCGAGGGGGCUGCAGGCUGCGAGCGUGGCAGGGUGUAACAACAGCAUCUUCACCUGCAGUGCUGCUCAUCAGCAGCAAUCAGCUCCCGGGCCAAGCUUUUCUAAAUGGCUGGUGAUCUGGUACCAUGCCUGAGGACCAAAGAGAAAUGCUUCUCCUCCCAGAAAUCCCAGUAACCUCCUUGUUGUAUCAAUUGUAAUUCAGUAUAGCCCCAUUUCUGCCCCGAAGUCAGUAAUUGCUUUGGAAAAUGUCCUUUACCUUUUUUAAGUGCCAGCAUGCCUUUUGUUGCUACUAAAGUAACAGCUAAAAGCUGACAGAUGACAGAAAAUGAGAAAUUUCUGAGAAAAGUGCUCAGAAUUUUCCUCUGAGUCAUCUCUACGUUGGCAGGAAAAGCCUGACAAAGAAGAAAAGUAUCUCUGCAGGUUGUACUGCCUGAAACAGCCCCAAAAUUAGGAGUCUAGGCCAGGUGAAUGCAUCCAGCCCAUAAGACAUAUUUCAGUGUAAUGUGACGGAGCUGAAAUCAAAAGUUGUUGUGAUGGUUAUGUGGCCGGUAUGACAGGACCCCCUUGAAAGAGCUGCAUGCGAGAGCAGCCCCCAGUGCUCCGGCAGCCACGCGAGCCCCGAGGAGCCGGUCCCUACCCUGCAGCUUACAUGCUGAACAACAUAAGGCACAAUAAAAGAUUAGCAAAACUGC
This is a long non-coding RNA of Falco peregrinus (peregrine falcon), 1444 nucleotides long. RefSeq lists it as uncharacterized. NCBI's taxonomy places the organism in Eukaryota, Metazoa, Chordata, Aves, Falconiformes, Falconidae. The transcript has 2 exons. The record is from RefSeq and is a predicted model, not a curated record.